GGUUCCGUGGUUGAAUUGACAACGUUAAAUUGCAAAUUUGAAGGUGUGCUGGGAAAUGGUUCCGGGAUCU
Molecule: transfer RNA, 70 nt
Filed under: Haliotis virginea
Lineage: Eukaryota; Metazoa; Mollusca; Gastropoda; Lepetellida; Haliotidae
Description: tRNA-Cys
Rfam family: tRNA
About the family: Transfer RNA (tRNA) molecules are approximately 80 nucleotides in length. Their secondary structure includes four short double-helical elements and three loops (D, anti-codon, and T loops).
Source: RNAcentral